This 367-nucleotide RNase P RNA is filed under the name Solidesulfovibrio carbinoliphilus subsp. oakridgensis. RNAcentral's name for it is "Desulfovibrio carbinoliphilus subsp. oakridgensis RNA component of RNaseP". It matches the Rfam family "Bacterial RNase P class A". Rfam says of the family: Ribonuclease P (RNase P) is a ubiquitous endoribonuclease, found in archaea, bacteria and eukarya as well as chloroplasts and mitochondria. The record is from RNAcentral. Lineage: Bacteria; Pseudomonadati; Thermodesulfobacteriota; Desulfovibrionia; Desulfovibrionales; Desulfovibrionaceae.
GGAGUCGGACAGGCCAUCGUCGCGGACGGCAACGUCCGGGGAGGAAAGUCCGGGCUCCACAGGGCAGGACGCUGGGUAACGCCCAGCGGGAGCGAUCCCGGGAGAGCGCCACAGAAAGCAGACCGCCCGCGCCUUCGGGCGCGGGUAAGGGUGAAACGGUGGGGUAAGAGCCCACCAGUUGCCGCGGUGACGCGGCAAGCUCGGCAAGCCCCGUUCGGAGCAAGACCAAAUAGGAGGGCGCCAAGGCCGGCCCGGCCGUGCCCUCGGGUAGGUUGCUUGAGGCCGCGGGUAAUCGCGGUCCUAGAGGAAUGAUGGCCGCCCCGGAAUUUCCGGGGAACAAAACCCGGCUUAUCGGCCGACUCCCCUU